RNAcentral lists this ribosomal RNA (450 nucleotides) under uncultured bacterium. Its description in RNAcentral is "partial 16S ribosomal RNA". It matches the Rfam family "Bacterial small subunit ribosomal RNA", at positions 354 to 796 of the family's 1533-position model. The record is from RNAcentral.
GUGGGGAAUAUUGGACAAUGGGCGAAAGCCUGAUCCAGCCAUGCCGCGUGUGUGAAGAAGGCCUUCGGGUUGUAAAGCACUUUUGUCCGGAAAGAAAUCUCCUGGGUUAAUACCUCGGGGGGAUGACGGUACCGGAAGAAUAAGCACCGGCUAACUACGUGCCAGCAGCCGCGGUAAUACGUAGGGUGCGAGCGUUAAUCGGAAUUACUGGGCGUAAAGCGUGAGCAGGCGGCUAUGCACGACAGCUGUGAAAUCCCCGGGCUCAAGCUGGGAACUGCAUUUGUGAAUGCAUGGCUAGAGUGCGUGAGAGGGAGGUGGAAUUCCGCGUGUAGCAGUGAAAUGCGUAGAGAUGCGGAGGAACACCGAUGGCGAAGGCAGCCUCCUGGGAUGACACUGACGCUCAUGCACGAAAGCGUGGGGAGCAAACAGGAUUAGAAACCCCUGUAGUCC